GUGAACGCUGGCGGUAGGCCUAACACAUGCACGUCGAACGGCAGCACCGGAGAGCUUGCUCUCUAGGUGGCGAGUGGCGGACGGGUGAGGAAUACAUCGGAAUCUGCCCAGUCGUGGGGGAUAACGUAGGGAAACUUACGCUAAUACCGCAUACGACCUUCGGGUGAAAGAGGGGGAUCGCAAGACCUCUCGCGAUUGGAUGAGCCGAUGUCGGAUUAGCUAGUUAGCGGGGUAAUGGCCCACCAAGGCGACGAUCCGUAGCUGGUCUGAGAGGAUGAUCAGCCACACUGGAACUGAGACACGGUCCAGACUCCUACGGGAGGCAGCAGUGGGGAAUAUUGGACAAUGGGCGCAAGCCUGAUCCAGCCAUACCGCGUGGGUGAAGAAGGCCUUCGGGUUGUAAAGCCCUUUUGUUGGGAAAGAAAUCUUUCAGGCUAAUACCCUGGGAGGAUGACGGUACCCAAAGAAUAAGCACCGGCUAACUUCGUG
This 489-nucleotide ribosomal RNA is filed under the name uncultured bacterium. RNAcentral's name for it is "partial 16S ribosomal RNA". It matches the Rfam family "Bacterial small subunit ribosomal RNA", at positions 29 to 507 of the family's 1533-position model. The record is from RNAcentral.